GAUGAACGCUAGCGGCAGGCUUAACACAUGCAAGUCGAGGGGCAGCGGGAUGUAGCAAUACAUUGCCGGCGACCGGCGCAAGGGUGCGUAACGCGUGAGCAACAUGCCCGUUACAGGAGGAUAAACCAUGGAAACGUGGCCUAAUACUCCAUAGUAUAUCAGAGAGGCAUCUUUUUGAUAUUAAAGUUUCGGCGGUAACGGAUUGGCUCGCGUGACAUUAGCUAGAUGGAGAGGUAACGGCUCACCAUGGCGACGAUGUCUAGGGGAACUGAGAGGUUAAUCCCCCACACUGGUACUGAGACACGGACCAGACUCCUACGGGAGGCAGCAGUGAGGAAUAUUGGACAAUGGAUGGAAAUCUGAUCCAGCCAUGCCGCGUGCAGGAUGACGGCCCUAUGGGGUCUUAAACUGCUUUUGUAUGGGAGCAAUAAGUUCUACGUGUAGAGUGAUGAGAGUACCAUACGAAUAAGCA
RNAcentral lists this ribosomal RNA (472 nucleotides) under uncultured bacterium. RNAcentral's name for it is "bacterial SSU rRNA". It matches the Rfam family "Bacterial small subunit ribosomal RNA", at positions 28 to 492 of the family's 1533-position model. The record is from RNAcentral.